Molecule: ribosomal RNA, 532 nt
Filed under: Lactarius utilis
Lineage: Eukaryota; Fungi; Basidiomycota; Agaricomycetes; Russulales; Russulaceae
Description: eukaryotic LSU rRNA
Rfam family: 5.8S ribosomal RNA (bases 159-312)
Source: RNAcentral
AGUGUCCUCUCACAUUAAAUCCAUCUCACCCUUUUGUGCACCACCGCGUGGGCACCCUUCGGGAUCGAACUGGUCCAGGAGGGGGCUUGCGUUUUCACACAAACCCUCAUUUAAAAGUGUAGAAUGACCCCAUUUUUGCGAUAACACGCAAUCAAUACAACUUUCAACAACGGAUCUCUUGGCUCUCGCAUCGAUGAAGAACGCAGCGAAAUGCGAUACGUAAUGUGAAUUGCAGAAUUCAGUGAAUCAUCGAAUCUUUGAACGCACCUUGCGCCCCUUGGUAUUCCGAGGGGCACACCCGUUUGAGUGUCGUGAAUAUCUCAACCUUCUCGGUUUCUUCUGGAUGCCGAAGGAGGCUUGGACUUUGGAGGCCUCUGCUGGCAUCUUUUGAAGGCCAGCUCCUCUCAAAUGAAUUAGCGGGGUCCUCUUUGCCAACCCUCGACAUGUGAUAAGAUGUUUCCAUGUCUUGGUUUAUGGCUCUGUUGCUUUUGGGACCCGCUUCUAAUCGUCUCAAUGACAACGUUUGAGAGCG